GGAAGCAUUUUUAUGACUGGAUAAGGUGGUAACAUUUGAUAACACCACAUUUUCUUAUUUAUUUAAUUAUGUCCUGUCUUUCUCUUUCCACAGGACCCAAGGUGACCCAAGGGGCUGUGGCUAGCACAGCGGGUUAAACCACCAGCUAUAGAAGAUCUUGGCAGUUCAAGCUGCAGGUUGGGGUGAGCUCCCACUGUCAGCCCCAGCAUCUACUUACCUAGCAGUUCAACAACAAUCCUCUACUCUUCUAGCUUUUAAUACUGGCCUGGCACAGGAAUUUAUCAACUGAAGCUUUUUUCUAUAAGCAAACGAACCAGAGUGCUUUUGGAGACAAGCUUCACAGCAGGCAUCCUUUACUGCCAUCAGUGACAAAGAAAAUUGUAGUGCAUUUCCCCCCUUUGGAUUUUGACACGCUUCUGCCAUCUCUGAUCAAGAGCAAAAUUCUUUCAAGCCAAACACUAGGUUUAUCAUGCUGGCCACACAACCAGGAGACAACACAGCUCCUCUGCUUGGAAAUAAGAAGAGUACCUCCCUCAGAGCCAGAGAUGAGCACUGCCUCAAGAGCAGGAAAUAAAAAGAGAAGCCUUUGCCUUUGUCUGUGUAUGUAUGUCUCAUUGUAUUGCAACAAGGCAUUGAAUGUUUGCCUGUCUCUGUUUAUAUACUGUAAUAUGCUCUGAAUCCCUUCAGGGAUAAGGGUGGAAUAUAAAUAAAGUGUUGUUGUUGU
Anolis carolinensis (green anole) is the source of this 724-nucleotide long non-coding RNA. RefSeq lists it as uncharacterized. NCBI's taxonomy places the organism in Eukaryota, Metazoa, Chordata, Lepidosauria, Squamata, Anolidae. The transcript is spliced from 4 exons. The record is from RefSeq and is a predicted model, not a curated record.